This 506-nucleotide ribosomal RNA is filed under the name uncultured bacterium. RNAcentral describes it as "partial 16S ribosomal RNA". It matches the Rfam family "Bacterial small subunit ribosomal RNA", at positions 28 to 523 of the family's 1533-position model. The record is from RNAcentral.
GAUGAACGCUAGCGGCAGGCCUAACACAUGCAAGUCGAGGGGCAGCACAUAAAGUGGUUUACUACUUUUGGUGGCGACCGGCGGACGGGUGCGUAACGCGUAUGCAACCUGCCUCCAACAGGGGGAUAACGGAGAGAAAUUUCCACUAAUACCCCAUAAUAUCAGAAUCGGCAUCGGUUUUGGUUGAAAACUCCGGUGGUUGGAGAUGGGCAUGCGUUGUAUUAGAUAGUUGGUGAGGUAAAGGCUCACCAAGUCAACGAUACAUAGGGGGACUGAGAGGUUAGCCCCCCACACUGGUACUGAGACACGGACCAGACUCCUACGGGAGGCAGCAGUGAGGAAUAUUGGUUAAUGGGGGCAACCCUGAACCAGCCAUGCCGCGUGCAGGAAGACGGCUCUAUGAGUUGUAAACUGCUUUUACAAGGGGAUAAAUCGGUGUACGUGUACACCGUUGAAGGUACCUUGGGAAUAAGGAUCGGCUAACUCCGUGCCAGCAGCCGCAGUAA